GAUCCGGUAACUUCGGGAAAAGGAUUGGCUCUGAGGGCUGGGCACGGGGGUCCCAGUCCCGAACCCGUCGGCUGUCGGUGGACUGCUCGAGCUGCUCCCGCAGCGAGAGCGGGUCGCCGCGUGCCGGCCGGGGGACGGACUGGGAACGGUUCCUCGGGGGCCUUCCCCGGGCGUCGAACAGCCAACUCAGAACUGGUAC
This is a ribosomal RNA of Nicotiana attenuata, 199 nucleotides long. It matches the Rfam family "Eukaryotic large subunit ribosomal RNA", at positions 1925 to 2120 of the family's 3401-position model. The record is from Rfam. Lineage: Eukaryota; Viridiplantae; Streptophyta; Magnoliopsida; Solanales; Solanaceae.